RNAcentral lists this ribosomal RNA (694 nucleotides) under uncultured bacterium. RNAcentral describes it as "bacterial SSU rRNA". It matches the Rfam family "Bacterial small subunit ribosomal RNA", at positions 32 to 715 of the family's 1533-position model. The record is from RNAcentral.
AACGCUAGCUACAGGCUUAACACAUGCAAGUCGAGGGGCAGCAUGGUCUUAGCUUGCUAAGGCCGAUGGCGACCGGCGCACGGGUGAGUAACACGUAUCCAACCUGCCGUCUACUCUUGGACAGCCUUCUGAAAGGAAGAUUAAUACAAGAUGGCAUCAUGAGUCCGCAUGUUCACAUGAUUAAAGGUAUUCCGGUAGACGAUGGGGAUGCGUUCCAUUAGAUAGUAGGCGGGGUAACGGCCCACCUAGUCUUCGAUGGAUAGGGGUUCUGAGAGGAAGGUCCCCCACAUUGGAACUGAGACACGGUCCAAACUCCUACGGGAGGCAGCAGUGAGGAAUAUUGGUCAAUGGGCGAGAGCCUGAACCAGCCAAGUAGCGUGAAGGAUGACUGCCCUAUGGGUUGUAAACUUCUUUUAUAAAGGAAUAAAGUCGGGUAUGGAUACCCGUUUGCAUGUACUUUAUGAAUAAGGAUCGGCUAACUCCGUGCCAGCAGCCGCGGUAAUACGGAGGAUCCGAGCGUUAUCCGGAUUUAUUGGGUUUAAAGGGAGCGUAGAUGGAUGUUUAAGUCAGUUGUGAAAGUUUGCGGCUCAACCGUAAAAUUGCAGUUGAUACUGGAUGUCUUGAGUGCAGUUGAGGCAGGCGGAAUUCGUGGUGUAGCGGUGAAAUGCUUAGAUAUCACGAAGAACUCCGAUUG